This 2922-nucleotide ribosomal RNA is filed under the name Bacillus thuringiensis. Its description in RNAcentral is "bacterial LSU rRNA". It matches the Rfam family "Bacterial large subunit ribosomal RNA". Lineage: Bacteria; Bacillati; Bacillota; Bacilli; Caryophanales; Bacillaceae. The record is from RNAcentral.
UUAAGUUAGAAAGGGCGCACGGUGGAUGCCUUGACACUAGGAGUCGAUGAAGGACGGGACUAACGCCGAUAUGCUUCGGGGAGCUGUAAGUAAGCUUUGAUCCGAAGAUUUCCGAAUGGGGAAACCCACCAUACGUAAUGGUAUGGUAUCCUUAUCUGAAUACAUAGGGUAAGGAAGACAGACCCAGGGAACUGAAACAUCUAAGUACCUGGAGGAAGAGAAAGCAAAUGCGAUUUCCUGAGUAGCGGCGAGCGAAACGGAACAUAGCCCAAACCAAGAGGCUUGCCUCUUGGGGUUGUAGGACAUUCUAUACGGAGUUACAAAGGAACGAGGUAGACGAAGCGACCUGGAAAGGUCUGUCGUAGAGGGUAACAACCCCGUAGUCGAAACUUCGUUCUCUCUUGAAUGUAUCCUGAGUACGGCGGAACACGUGAAAUUCCGUCGGAAUCUGGGAGGACCAUCUCCCAAGGCUAAAUACUCCCUAGUGAUCGACAGUGAACCAGUACCGUGAGGGAAAGGUGAAAAGCACCCCGGAAGGGGAGUGAAAGAGAUCCUGAAACCGUGUGCCUACAAAUAGUCAGAGCCCGUUAACGGGUGAUGGCGUGCCUUUUGUAGAAUGAACCGGCGAGUUACGAUCCCGUGCGAGGUUAAGCUGAAGAGGCGGAGCCACAGCGAAAGCGAGUCUGAAUAGGGCGUUUAGUACGUGGUCGUAGACCCGAAACCAGGUGAUCUACCCAUGUCCAGGGUGAAGUUCAGGUAACACUGAAUGGAGGCCCGAACCCACGCACGUUGAAAAGUGCGGGGAUGAGGUGUGGGUAGCGGAGAAAUUCCAAUCGAACCUGGAGAUAGCUGGUUCUCCCCGAAAUAGCUUUAGGGCUAGCCUUAAGUGUAAGAGUCUUGGAGGUAGAGCACUGAUUGGACUAGGGGUCCUCAUCGGAUUACCGAAUUCAGUCAAACUCCGAAUGCCAAUGACUUAUCCUUAGGAGUCAGACUGCGAGUGAUAAGAUCCGUAGUCAAAAGGGAAACAGCCCAGACCGCCAGCUAAGGUCCCAAAGUGUGUAUUAAGUGGAAAAGGAUGUGGAGUUGCUUAGACAACUAGGAUGUUGGCUUAGAAGCAGCCACCAUUUAAAGAGUGCGUAAUAGCUCACUAGUCGAGUGACUCUGCGCCGAAAAUGUACCGGGGCUAAAUACACCACCGAAGCUGCGGAUUGAUACCGAAUGGUAUCAGUGGUAGGGGAGCGUUCUAAGGACAGUGAAGUCAGACCGGAAGGACUGGUGGAGUGCUUAGAAGUGAGAAUGCCGGUAUGAGUAGCGAAAGACGGGUGAGAAUCCCGUCCACCGAAUGCCUAAGGUUUCCUGAGGAAGGCUCGUCCGCUCAGGGUUAGUCAGGACCUAAGCCGAGGCCGACAGGCGUAGGCGAUGGACAACAGGUUGAUAUUCCUGUACCACCUCUUUAUCGUUUGAGCAAUGGAGGGACGCAGAAGGAUAGAAGAAGCGUGCGAUUGGUUGUGCACGUCCAAGCAGUUAGGCUGAUAAGUAGGCAAAUCCGCUUAUCGUAAAGGCUGAGCUGUGAUGGGGAAGCUCCUUAUGGAGCGAAGUCUUUGAUUCCCCGCUGCCAAGAAAAGCUUCUAGCGAGAUAAAAGGUGCCUGUACCGCAAACCGACACAGGUAGGCGAGGAGAGAAUCCUAAGGUGUGCGAGAGAACUCUGGUUAAGGAACUCGGCAAAAUGACCCCGUAACUUCGGGAGAAGGGGUGCUUUCUUAACGGAAAGCCGCAGUGAAUAGGCCCAAGCGACUGUUUAGACAAAAACACAGCUCUCUGCGAAGCCGUAAGGCGAAGUAUAGGGGGUGACACCUGCCCGGUGCUGGAAGGUUAAGGAGAGGGGUUAGCGUAAGCGAAGCUCUGAACUGAAGCCCCAGUAAACGGCGGCCGUAACUAUAACGGUCCUAAGGUAGCGAAAUUCCUUGUCGGGUAAGUUCCGACCCGCACGAAAGGUGUAACGAUUUGGGCACUGUCUCAACCAGAGACUCGGUGAAAUUAUAGUACCUGUGAAGAUGCAGGUUACCCGCGACAGGACGGAAAGACCCCGUGGAGCUUUACUGUAGCCUGAUAUUGAAUUUUGGUACAGUUUGUACAGGAUAGGCGGGAGCCUUUGAAACCGGAGCGCUAGCUUCGGUGGAGGCGCUGGUGGGAUACCGCCCUGACUGUAUUGAAAUUCUAACCUACGGGUCUUAUCGACCCGGGAGACAGUGUCAGGUGGGCAGUUUGACUGGGGCGGUCGCCUCCUAAAGUGUAACGGAGGCGCCCAAAGGUUCCCUCAGAAUGGUUGGAAAUCAUUCGUAGAGUGCAAAGGCAUAAGGGAGCUUGACUGCGAGACCUACAAGUCGAGCAGGGACGAAAGUCGGGCUUAGUGAUCCGGUGGUUCCGCAUGGAAGGGCCAUCGCUCAACGGAUAAAAGCUACCCCGGGGAUAACAGGCUUAUCUCCCCCAAGAGUCCACAUCGACGGGGAGGUUUGGCACCUCGAUGUCGGCUCAUCGCAUCCUGGGGCUGUAGUCGGUCCCAAGGGUUGGGCUGUUCGCCCAUUAAAGCGGUACGCGAGCUGGGUUCAGAACGUCGUGAGACAGUUCGGUCCCUAUCCGUCGUGGGCGUAGGAAAUUUGAGAGGAGCUGUCCUUAGUACGAGAGGACCGGGAUGGACGCACCGCUGGUGUACCAGUUGUUCUGCCAAGGGCAUAGCUGGGUAGCUAUGUGCGGAAGGGAUAAGUGCUGAAAGCAUCUAAGCAUGAAGCCCCCCUCAAGAUGAGAUUUCCCAUAGCGUAAGCUAGUAAGAUCCCUGAAAGAUGAUCAGGUUGAUAGGUUCGAGGUGGAAGCAUGGUGACAUGUGGAGCUGACGAAUACUAAUAGAUCGAGGACUUAACCAU